RNAcentral lists this ribosomal RNA (252 nucleotides) under uncultured bacterium. Its description in RNAcentral is "partial 16S ribosomal RNA". It matches the Rfam family "Bacterial small subunit ribosomal RNA", at positions 524 to 776 of the family's 1533-position model. The record is from RNAcentral.
UACGGAGGGUGCGAGCGUUAUCCGGAUUCACUGGGUUUAAAGGGUGCGUAGGUGGGAAUGUAAGUCAGUGGUGAAAUCUCUGAGCUUAACUCAGAAACUGCCAUUGAUACUAUGUUUCUUGAAUUUUCUGGAGGUCAGCGGAAUAUGUCAUGUAGCGGUGAAAUGCUUAGAUAUGACAUAGAACACCAAUGCGAAGGCAGCUGGCUACAGGGAUAUUGACACUGAGGCACGAAAGCGUGGGGAUCAAACAGG